RNAcentral lists this ribosomal RNA (405 nucleotides) under uncultured bacterium. RNAcentral's name for it is "partial 16S ribosomal RNA". It matches the Rfam family "Bacterial small subunit ribosomal RNA", at positions 28 to 526 of the family's 1533-position model. The record is from RNAcentral.
GAUGAACGCUGGCGGCGUGCCUAAUACAUGCAAGUCGAGCGAAGCGGGGACGGGUGAGUAAUACGUGGAUAACCUCCUAUAAGACUGGGAUAACUUCGGGAAACCGGAGCUAAACCGGUUACUUAUAGAUGGAUCCGCGCUGCAUUAGCUAGUUGGUAAGGUAACGGCUUACCAAGGCUACGUUGCAUAGCAGACCUGAGAGGAGGAUCGGCCACACUGGAACUGAGACACGGUCCAGACUCCGACGGGAGGCAGCAGUAGGGAAUCUUCCGCAAUGGGCGAAAGCCUGAUGGAGCAAUGCCGCGUGAAUGAAGAAGGUCUUCGGAUCGUAAAGCUCUGUUAGUAGGGAGGCGGUACCUAAUCAGAAAGCCACGGCUAACUACGUGCCAGCAGCCGCGGUAAUAC